This is a long non-coding RNA of Strongylocentrotus purpuratus (purple sea urchin), 280 nucleotides long. RefSeq lists it as uncharacterized. Lineage: Eukaryota; Metazoa; Echinodermata; Echinoidea; Camarodonta; Strongylocentrotidae. The record is from RefSeq and is a predicted model, not a curated record. The transcript is spliced from 2 exons.
GGCGCGAAACUUGUAUAGCGCCAUCUGUGGCGUUAAGAAAAUUUGUGCAACAGAAAGCCUAGUCAAAGGCAUCAGACUUGAUGUUUGUUACCAUAGAAUUCAUGACUUUGCUCCGGAUGAACAAAUAGUUGUGAACCGCUAAUUGGAUUGCUGAUUUGCUAAUGAUGAUGAUUCGCUAUUUGGAUUGCUGAUGAUGAUUCUCUAAUUGGAUUGCUGAAUCGCUAAAUGAAGAUGACUUGUUACAAAAGAACCGAAUAAAAGAAAAAUAAGAACUCAACAA